UACGGGGGGAGCAAGCGUUGUUCGGAUUUACUGGGCGUAAAGGGCGCGUAGGCGGUCAGCAUAGGACAGAUGUGAAAUCCCCGGGCUUAACCUGGGAACUGCAUUUGUGACUGCAUAGCUGGAGUACGGCAGAGGGGGAUGGAAUUCCGCGUGUAGCAGUGAAAUGCGUAGAUAUGCGGAGGAACACCGAUGGCGAAGGCAGUCCCCUGGGCCUGUACUGACGCUCAUGCACGAAAGCGUGGGGAGCAAACAGG
RNAcentral lists this ribosomal RNA (254 nucleotides) under uncultured bacterium. RNAcentral describes it as "partial 16S ribosomal RNA". It matches the Rfam family "Bacterial small subunit ribosomal RNA", at positions 524 to 776 of the family's 1533-position model. The record is from RNAcentral.